CUUGAGCGACCCAAGCCAGAGCGGACGGUCCGCAGGCCGGUCCUGUCCAUAAGUCGCCAACAGAGCCUGGGCCUC
Molecule: antisense RNA, 75 nt
Filed under: Streptomyces caeruleatus
Lineage: Bacteria; Bacillati; Actinomycetota; Actinomycetes; Kitasatosporales; Streptomycetaceae
Description: Streptomyces sp. GIMN4.002 ASpks TB sRNA
Rfam family: ASpks TB sRNA
Source: Rfam by way of RNAcentral